Molecule: ribosomal RNA, 484 nt
Filed under: uncultured bacterium
Lineage: Bacteria
Description: partial 16S ribosomal RNA
Rfam family: Bacterial small subunit ribosomal RNA
Source: RNAcentral
AUUGAACGCUGGCGGCAGGCCUAACACAUGCAAGUCGAGCGGAUGGAGGGAGCUUGCUCCUGGAUUCAGCGGCGGACGGGUGAGUAAUGCCUAGGAAUCUGCCUGGUAGUGGGGGAUAACGUCCGGAAACGGGCGCUAAUACCGCAUACGUCCUGAGGGAGAAAGUGGGGGAUCUUCGGACCUCACGCUAUCAGAUGAGCCUAGGUCGGAUUAGCUAGUUGGUGGGGUAAAGGCCUACCAAGGCGACGAUCCGUAACUGGUCUGAGAGGAUGAUCAGUCACACUGGAACUGAGACACGGUCCAGACUCCUACGGGAGGCAGCAGUGGGGAAUAUUGGACAAUGGGCGAAAGCCUGAUCCAGCCAUGCCGCGUGUGUGAAGAAGGUCUUCGGAUUGUAAAGCACUUUAAGUUGGGAGGAAGGGCAGUAAGUUAAUACCUGGCUGUUUUGACGUUACCAACAGAAUAAGCACCGGCUAACUUCGUG